Homo sapiens (human) is the source of this 1924-nucleotide long non-coding RNA. The record is from Ensembl. Lineage: Eukaryota; Metazoa; Chordata; Mammalia; Primates; Hominidae.
AGAGUGAAUACACUAAGGAAUUUAAGAGCUUACAAACUGAUUUUUAUGGAAGUCAUCAAGAGUGGAGAAGGCUGAUUUAAAAAUCAACCAUGAUUUUAAACAGGGGCUGAAAACUGUGGCUUACGAGGCAAGAUUGCAAGUUUGUGAAAAGUUUGAGCCAAAGAAAGUAUUCUUUAUGAAGACAAGUAAUUCGAUUUAAAAGGAAAAUUUAAAUGAGGCAUUAGGAACUGAACUGUGAAUUCAAUUAGGCUGUAUAUUGGACUUUCAAAAGAAGCAGUGAAAAACUCUAUAGCUUUUAUUGAGGCAAAGAAAGGACAUGUGUUAAGGCUUUAAGAUACAAGAUACUUCAAUGAAUAAAACAAAGACCUUUGCUUUCCUGAAACUUGAGAUCAAAUGGAGGACACACAAAAACAACGCACCUACAAAUCACCAUAUUGUGUGUCAGGAGCUGAGGAUGCUAUGAAAACCCCUUGAGGAAACAAAGGCACCUUGGGGGCCAUUGAGAACUCCUGACGAAGAGGGCUCAGCUGCCAGACCUGCUCAAGAAAGACCUCAGAAAUCUCUAUGGGGCUGUCAGAAGAAAAGGUUUGAAAAGGGUCUGGAGAGACUGAAAUUUGUCUGCCUUGGACUUUUCUUUUGACAAUUCACAUCCAACUUAAGCAGAAUCAUUGUUUAUUCUUAUUAUGCCAGGUUUCCUUUUCUGGUCUGCAGGUUCUCUAGGGUUUCAUAGGCUAGUAGUUGGAAUUUUCAUAUUUCCAAAGCAUUGGGGAUUUUGCAAAAACAAAAUCUAAAGGAUAUUCAGCAGCACAGUUUACUUAGGAGGUUUUAAUCAUAAUAAUCUGCAUAAUGUAUGAGAAUUUCUACCUCAGCUGCCUCCUUUCUUUCUCUUUCGUGUCUGGGAAAAAGCCAGGGAUUUUUCCCUUCCUCUGAUUUAAAUACCUUAUAAAAUUUUGGUGGAAGCAUUUUGUCCUAUUCUGUCUUCCUGAUUCAUUUUCUGCUGUAAUGAGCAAAAUUAAUUUGCAAGAGCUGCUACUGACAUAGUGUAAUAAACUGGGUCAUAGGUAGAAUCAGUGCCGCCUUAUGACCCUUAGCUGUCAUUGCUUUAAGGAAUUUGGCAUGGUCCUCGAAGGCCAGAAGGCAAUGUGGGUUGCAUCCUACAGCUUUUGAGAUCUCAGAGACUUACUGCACCCAUGGCUGGGAAUGAACUGUAAAUGCUGACACUGGUAACUAGGUGCCAAACUGAAGUGAUCACAACCUAAUCUGAGCCAAAAGGCAUUUCUUUGCAUCAGGCAUAAAGCAACAUCAAACUCCCAUAACCCACACACAACACAGAAAUCAUUACUGAAGAGAUUCAACAUCAUCAUGCCAGACACUAAGUGAGUUAUUUCUCUCCUUCCCUGUCUCACCACAGUUUCCUCCCACUUGGUCACACAUGGUAAGCAUUCAUGUGUGCGAAGGCAUUUUAUGCCUUCGACCUAACCCCGACCACAGUCCCCUAGUCUUAUCAGAGAUCUGCACUCCCCACCAUUUGAGCACGAUGGAGUGCAUAUUUCCAGUGCAAAAAGACUGAUAUCAUUAUGAUUUUCAUUAACUAGUUGCCAGCUUGCAUUCUUUUUUCUCCCUUUUUUUCUCUCUCAACAGCACUUCUGUCCUCAGCCCAACCCCAGCCAGAAAAGGUGUUGCUACAUUCAGUGAAAAAUUAUUAUUAGUAUAGACAUGAAAUUUGAUGAUAAUGUAGAUUGUUUUGUGUCAUCUGCAGGCUGUCACAAUACACUCUGCAUCACUGAAAUGUGUUGACCAGAAGGAUGAUGGUGUUGUCAUGAUACUGAGGUCUUUUAAUUAAUUACUUUGUGACUUUCAUAGCAUUUAGAAAACGGAGAACAGGGUAUUUUCUUGAACAGCCUAGCCAAAUGAAAAACUGGUU